This 823-nucleotide long non-coding RNA is filed under the name Chinchilla lanigera (long-tailed chinchilla). Its description in RNAcentral is "lncRNA (ENSCLAG00000022613.1)". Lineage: Eukaryota; Metazoa; Chordata; Mammalia; Rodentia; Chinchillidae. The record is from RNAcentral.
CCCAGCCAGCCCCUUCACAGCUGGACCUCUUGGAGCAUAAGCAAGGGAAACCCCUGUGUGCCAGGGGUUUUGCCGAGACCCUCCCUUUGCCUGUGAAAACCACCCCAUGCCGAUGAGAGGAGCCUGACCCAAGAGACCUCCGGACUAGGGGAGGCGGCACUGUGCUCGCUAACCAAUCUCACAUUUGACAGGAGUGACUGGAGCAGCACAAAUCUCCAGUCAAACAGACGCUUCUCCUGGGCUCUAACAACCAACAAAGUUGUCCAUUACAUUGAAGUACAAGAAGCCAUAAUAUUAUUUAAGAGUCCAGCGCCUUUGUUUGAAAAACAUGGAAGAAGUACUGGGCUUGGGCCCAGAAAGGGACAAGGGCAGCAUGGGGAAGACAGAUGGGACCAGGCUGCCACACCUGUCUGGCUAAAGGCAGCUGGCAGAUGUUCAGUACCCAAAGCAGUUUCUAGCACUACAAAGCAUUCAGAUGUGUUGCUUUAAGGCUGCUGAUCACUGGUAAGGAAAAUCAAAUGGUUAGUGUAUGCUUGUUGUGUCCCUUUGUUGUUUUCUCGGAUAUAAGCAUGCCUGACCUUCUUAUGAAUUAGUCAAAUACAUUUCUCUAGUAGAGGACUUAAAAUUCACAGUGCUCCUUGUAAAACCAUUAAUAAUUGCUACAUUAAAUGUCAUCAUGCAAGCCAGUGACAUUUUUCCUCAGACAAACAGACCAGGUACUUCAGAUUUUAGACUGUUUAACAAAACUGCAAGAGUACAGAAAAGUAUGAAAUGAUGAACAAAUAUGUCCUUCCUGUAUUGCCACCCACACCACUUCCCUGAG